Molecule: ribosomal RNA, 422 nt
Filed under: uncultured bacterium
Lineage: Bacteria
Description: bacterial SSU rRNA
Rfam family: Bacterial small subunit ribosomal RNA
Source: RNAcentral
GGAAUCUUCGGCAAUGGACGAAAGUCUGACCGAGCAACGCCGCGUGAGUGAAGAAGGUUUUCGGAUCGUAAAACUCUGUUGGUAGAGAAGAACGUUGGUGAGAGUGGAAAGCUCAUCAAGUGACGGUAACUACCCAGAAAGGGACGGCUAACUACGUGCCAGCAGCCGCGGUAAUACGUAGGUCCCGAGCGUUGUCCGGAUUUAUUGGGCGUAAAGCGAGCGCAGGUGGUUUAUUAAGUCUGGUGUAAAAGGCAGUGGCUCAACCAUUGUAUGCAUUGGAAACUGGUAGACUUGAGUGCAGGAGAGGAGAGUGGAAUUCCAUGUGUAGCGGUGAAAUGCGUAGAUAUAUGGAGGAACACCGGUGGCGAAAGCGGCUCUCUGGCCUGUAACUGACACUGAGGCUCGAAAGCGUGGGGAGCAAA